This 251-nucleotide ribosomal RNA is filed under the name uncultured prokaryote. RNAcentral describes it as "partial 16S ribosomal RNA". It matches the Rfam family "Bacterial small subunit ribosomal RNA", at positions 525 to 775 of the family's 1533-position model. The record is from RNAcentral.
ACGUAGGGUGCGAGCGUUAAUCGGAAUUACUGGGCGUAAAGCGUGCGCAGGCGGUUCGCUAAGACAGGUGUGAAAUCCCCGGGCUUAACCUGGGAAUGGCGUUUUGAACUGGCAGUCUAGAGUGCGUCAGAGGGGGGUGGAAUUCCACGUGUAGCAGUGAAAUGCGUAGAGAUGUGGAGGAACACCGAUGGCGAAGGCAGCCCCCUGGGCCGAUACUGACGCUCAUGCACGAAAGCGUGGGGAGCAAACAG